Molecule: transfer RNA, 63 nt
Filed under: Salmo salar (Atlantic salmon)
Lineage: Eukaryota; Metazoa; Chordata; Actinopteri; Salmoniformes; Salmonidae
Also listed under: 1 other name
Rfam family: tRNA
About the family: Transfer RNA (tRNA) molecules are approximately 80 nucleotides in length. Their secondary structure includes four short double-helical elements and three loops (D, anti-codon, and T loops).
Source: Rfam by way of RNAcentral
UGUAGCUCAGUUGGUAGAGCAUGGUGCUUGCUAUGCCAGGAGUGUGGGUUUGAUUCCCAACCA